RNAcentral lists this ribosomal RNA (460 nucleotides) under uncultured bacterium. RNAcentral's name for it is "partial 16S ribosomal RNA". It matches the Rfam family "Bacterial small subunit ribosomal RNA", at positions 338 to 795 of the family's 1533-position model. The record is from RNAcentral.
CCUACGGGAGGCAGCAGUGAGGAAUAUUGGUCAAUGGACGAGAGUCUGAACCAGCGAAGUAGCGUGAAGGAAUACUGCCCUAUGGGUUGUAAACUUCUUUUAUAUGGGAAUAAAAUGUUCCACGUGUGGGAUUUUGUAUGUACCAUAUUAAUAAGGAUCGGCGAACUCCGUGCCAGCAGCCGCGGUAAUACGGAGGAUCCGAGCGUUAUCCGGAUUUGUUGGGUGUAAAGGGCGCGUAGGUGGUUUGUUAAGUCAGGUGUGAAAGUUUGGGGCUCAACCGUAAAAUUGCAGUUGAAACUGGCAGUCUUGAGUACAGUAGAGGUAGGCGGAAUUCGUGGUGUAGCAGUGAAAUGCUUAGAUAUCGCGAAGAACUCCGAUUGCGAAGGCAGCUCACUGGACUGCAACUGACACUGAGGCUCGAAGGUGUGGGUAUCAAACAGGAUUAGAUACCCUUGUAGUC